This 468-nucleotide ribosomal RNA is filed under the name uncultured bacterium. Its description in RNAcentral is "partial 16S ribosomal RNA". It matches the Rfam family "Bacterial small subunit ribosomal RNA", at positions 28 to 507 of the family's 1533-position model. The record is from RNAcentral.
GACGAACGCUGGCGGCGUGCUUAACACAUGCAAGUCGAACGGAAAGGCCCUGCUUUUGUGGGGUGCUCGAGUGGCGAACGGGUGAGUAACACGUGAGUAACCUGCCCUUGACUUUGGGAUAACUUCAGGAAACUGGGGCUAAUACCGGAUAGGAGCUCCUGCUGCAUGGUGGGGGUUGGAAAGUUUCGGCGGUUGGGGAUGGACUCGCGGCUUAGCAGCUUGUUGGUGGGGUAGUGGCUUACCAAGGCUUUGACGGGUAGCCGGCCUGGGAGGGUGACCGGCCACAUGGGGACUGAGAUACGGCCCAGACUCCUACGGGAGGCAGCAGUGGGGAAUAUUGCACAAUGGGCGGACGCCUGAUGCAGCAACGCCGCGUGCGGGAUGACGGCCUACGGGUUGUAAACCGCUUUCGCCUGUGACGAAGCGUGAGUGACGGUAAUGGGUAAAGAAGCACCGGCUAACUACGUG